AGCAGCCGCGGUAAUUCCAGCUCCAAUAGCGUAUAUUAAAGUUGUUGCAGUUAAAAAGCUCGUAGUUGAAUUUCGGGAUUGACACAUCGGUCGUGCCUUAAGGGGUAUGAACUGGUGUAGUCAAUUUCUCACCUUCUGGAGAACCGCGAUGCCCUUAAUUGGGUGUCGCGGGGAACCAGGACCUUUACUUUGAAAAAUUAGAGUGUUUAAAGCAGGCAUUUUGCUUGAAUACAUUAGCAUGGAAUAAUAAAAUAGGACGGCAUGGUUCUAUUUUGUUGGUUUCUAGGACCACCGUAAUGAUUAAUAGGGAUAGUUGGGGGCAUUAGUAUUCAAUUGUCAGAGGUGAAAUUCUUGGAUUUAUUGAAGACUAACUACUGCGAAAGCAUUUGCCAAGGAUGUUUUCAUUAAUCAAGAACGAAAGUUAGGGGAUCGAAGACGAUCAGAUACCGUCGUAGUCUUAACCAUAAACUAUGCCGACUAGGAAUCAGACGAUGUUAAUUUUUAAUGACUCGUUUUGGCA
This 520-nucleotide ribosomal RNA is filed under the name uncultured Entrophospora. RNAcentral's name for it is "SSU rRNA". It matches the Rfam family "Eukaryotic small subunit ribosomal RNA", at positions 569 to 1085 of the family's 1831-position model. Lineage: Eukaryota; Fungi; Glomeromycota; Glomeromycetes; Entrophosporales; Entrophosporaceae. The record is from RNAcentral.